GUAGUCAUAUGCUUGUCUCAAAGAUUAAGCCAUGCAUGUCUAAGUAUAAACAAAUUUGUACUGUGAAACUGCGAAUGGCUCAUUAAAUCAGUUAUCGUUUAUUUGAUAGUACCUUACUACAUGGAUACCUGUGGUAAUCCUAGAGCUAAUACAUGCUAAAAACCCCGACUUCAGGAAGGGGUGUAUUUAUUAGAUAAAAAACCAACGCCCUUCGGGGCUCCUUGGUGAAUCAUAAUAACUUAACGAAUCGCAUGGCCUUGCGCCGGCGAUGGUUCAUUCAAAUUUCUGCCCUAUCAACUUUCGAUGGUAGGAUAGUGGCCUACCAUGGUGGCAACGGGUAACGGGGAAUUAGGGUUCGAUUCCGGAGAGGGAGCCUGAGAAACGGCUACCACAUCCAAGGAAGGCAGCAGGCGCGCAAAUUACCCAAUCCCGAUACGGGGAGGUAGUGACAAUAAAUACUGAUACGGGGCUCUUUUGGGUCUCGUAAUUGGAAUGAGAACAAUUUAAAUCCCUUAACGAG
This 520-nucleotide ribosomal RNA is filed under the name uncultured fungus. RNAcentral's name for it is "SSU rRNA". It matches the Rfam family "Eukaryotic small subunit ribosomal RNA", at positions 20 to 541 of the family's 1831-position model. The record is from RNAcentral. Lineage: Eukaryota; Fungi.